This 253-nucleotide ribosomal RNA is filed under the name uncultured Bacteroidaceae bacterium. Its description in RNAcentral is "partial 16S ribosomal RNA". It matches the Rfam family "Bacterial small subunit ribosomal RNA", at positions 524 to 776 of the family's 1533-position model. The record is from RNAcentral. Lineage: Bacteria; Pseudomonadati; Bacteroidota; Bacteroidia; Bacteroidales; Bacteroidaceae.
UACGGAGGAUGCGAGCGUUAUCCGGAUUUAUUGGGUUUAAAGGGAGCGUAGACGGGGGAGUAAGUCAGUUGUGAAAGGCUGCGGCUCAACCGCAGCACUGCAGUUGAUACUGGUUCCCUUGAGUGCGGUUGAGGUAUGUGGAAUUCGUGGUGUAGCGGUGAAAUGCUUAGAUAUCACGAAGAACUCCGAUUGCGAAGGCAGCAUACUAAGUCGCUACUGACGUUGAGGCGCGAAAGUGUGGGGAUCAAACAGG